Homo sapiens (human) is the source of this 353-nucleotide long non-coding RNA. RefSeq lists it as uncharacterized. The transcript is spliced from 4 exons. The record is from RefSeq and is a predicted model, not a curated record. NCBI's taxonomy places the organism in Eukaryota, Metazoa, Chordata, Mammalia, Primates, Hominidae.
CUCCCAAAGUGCUAGGAUUACAGGCGUGAACCACCGCGCCCAGCCCAGUUUCUUCUUUAAAAUGGGGCCGUGGACAUUCACCUAGUGAGAUGAAGGCGUUACAGAAGCAGGUCACAAGACCCUCAUGUGAGAGGUGCCCUCCCUAUACCUGGAGGACAGGAGCGUCCUUCUCUCUGAAGACACGAAAACAGAGAGAAUCUGCACAAGCAGGUCUUGAGAUGAAACAGGAAAGGGAAUGCGUUGGAGCCAUUUUUUAAAACUACAAACUGUUUCUCACUACCCUCUGGACUGUUGGCGUUCUACCAUUGACGGAGGGUGGAGCUGAAAAUUCUGGGCAGCUUUCCUCCAACGAG